RNAcentral lists this ribosomal RNA (253 nucleotides) under uncultured bacterium. RNAcentral describes it as "partial 16S ribosomal RNA". It matches the Rfam family "Bacterial small subunit ribosomal RNA", at positions 524 to 776 of the family's 1533-position model. The record is from RNAcentral.
UACGUAGGGUGCGAGCGUUAAUCGGAAUUAUUGGGUGUAAAGCGUGCGUAGGCGGCGCGUUAAGUCAGGUGUGAAAGCCCCGAGCUUAACUUGGGAAUUGCGCUUGUGACUGGCGUGCUGGAGUGUGGCAGAGGGAGGUGGAAUUCCACGUGUAGCAGUGAAAUGCGUAGAGAUGUGGAGGAACACCGAUGGCGAAGGCAGCCUCCUGGGCCAGCACUGACGCUGAUGCACGAAAGCGUGGGGAGCAAACAGG